UAUUUUCCUUUUUUUCCCUCAGCCGCGGUAAUACGUAGGUGGCGAGCGUUGUCCGGAAUUAUUGGGCGUAAAGAGCAUGUAGGCGGCUUAAUAAGUCGAGCGUGAAAAUGCGGGGCUCAACCCCGUAUGGCGCUGGAAACUGUUAGGCUUGAGUGCAGGAGAGGAAAGGGGAAUUCCCAGUGUAGCGGUGAAAUGCGUAGAUAUUGGGAGGAACACCAGUGGCGAAGGCGCCUUUCUGGACUGUGUCUGACGCUGAGAUGCGAAAGCCAGGGUAGCGAACGGG
RNAcentral lists this ribosomal RNA (283 nucleotides) under Phascolarctobacterium faecium. RNAcentral's name for it is "partial 16S ribosomal RNA". It matches the Rfam family "Bacterial small subunit ribosomal RNA", at positions 494 to 776 of the family's 1533-position model. Lineage: Bacteria; Bacillati; Bacillota; Negativicutes; Acidaminococcales; Acidaminococcaceae. The record is from RNAcentral.